Homo sapiens (human) is the source of this 1867-nucleotide long non-coding RNA. RefSeq lists it as uncharacterized. The record is from RefSeq and is a predicted model, not a curated record. The transcript is spliced from 3 exons. NCBI's taxonomy places the organism in Eukaryota, Metazoa, Chordata, Mammalia, Primates, Hominidae.
AACGCCGGAGGAGGCGUGGCGUCGCUGGGGGACCACGCGCCGUCCCAACAGGCUGGAAGGGUGCCGCCACGACUGGCCCCUCCAGGACCAUAUUUCCCUUUAAAUGCUGAAAAUUUAGUGUGGAAUUGAUAUGUACUGUAUGCAUAAACCACACGCUGGAUGUCUAAGACUGGUGAGCAAGUCUUGACAUCUGGAGGAGUUUCCACCAUCCAAGAAGGAAAAGGCAAAGGUCCACAUGGGAAGCUGGAGGUGAAUGGGAGAGACAGAGGCUGCUCAGAUAGGGGCUUUGGUUUCCUGUCUGCCUGUCAGAGCAGGAGGAGGUGGGCCUUGCAGCACCUUGCAUCUGCGUCACUUCAUUUGUAAGAAGAUGGCUGGAAUGGUGAAAAGCACACAGGUAAAUCACUGCCCCCACCUCCAUGUUUCCAGCAGACCAGCUCAGCAAGAUCUUUCUACCUGCCUGGAGCCAGAGCUGCUUCUGGAAAUAUCUAAAUUUUCUCUUCUACUGAUGCCAAAACAAUGAGGCCAGCCUUUGCCUUUUGGAAACCAAUAGGGGAUUGAGAGGGGAGAUACCAUGCAUUCUCUCUGCUACAACCUCCCUUACCGCCCAUCUUCAUCAGUCUCUCUAUGCCUACUGGCCUCUCAGGUCUAAUGGGCAUCUUAUGAUAGUCUUCGUCCUGUAACUAAUGGAGGCUCCUCUCCAUCUGAAUAUCUGCUCCCAUCCUAAACAUGCACAACCUGAAAGAGAAGCCUUAAGAGUCUCCAAGGGCACUGUCUUCACCAGUGGGGGAAGCCACUCUUUGCCUGAUCACAAGAAUGGGUGAAUACUGCAGAAAAAAAGGGAAUUCUAAUGGCUUUACCCAGAAACUUCCACAAAGAGGAUGGUCCUGUCACUGCUUUUGGCUUCACAAGAAGGAAACACCUUUCUUCCUUCUGUGCCAGUGACUAUUGCCUGUAACCUCACCCCUGAGCCAAGGGUGACCAGGCUACGAGAGAACAAUGAGUUAGAGCGGCUUACAAGCUGGUAUCCGAGGGAGGGGCAGAUGGCUCUGUGGGGUGGACUGCGUUCCUGCAGGAGUGGGAUCUUCACAUUCUACUCCAAGGACCAAGUUGUUAGGGGCAGUGGAAGGGAGAGGAGCCAUGGUGCGUGCCCAGGCAGUGUGGUGUUUUGUGUUUUGUCAUAUGGAAGCCACAAGUCACUCCAUCAAUAUUUUGACAAAGCAGUUCCCCAUCUUAUGGAAAAAAUCAAACUCUUCUUGUUUUCCUGCUUUCUUCACAAUGAGGAAACGGGCAACAUUUUGGCUAAAAGUUUAUAAACAUAAGCACAUAUUUUCUGGUCACAAAUCUUCUAGGUCCUGAUUGAUCUGAAUUUCCCACAGGGGUAAGCAGGACCCACUUGUGGUUUUGUGGUUUGCUUAUAGCUCUAUCCAUAUGUGGAAGGUUUUUUUUUUUUUUUUUUUGGAGACAGAGUUUCACUCUCGUUGUCCAGGCUGGAGUGCAAUGCUGCGAUCCCGGCUCACCACAACCUCCGCCUCCUGGGUUCAUGCAAUUCUCCUGCUUUAGCCUCCUGAGUAGCUGGGAUUAUAGGCAUGCGCCACCACGCCUGGCUAAUUUUGCAUUUAGCAAAAUUAGCAAAAUGUUGGUCAGGCUGGUCUCAAACUCCCGACCUCAGGUGAUCCGCCCACUUUGGCCUCCCAAAGUGCUGGGAUUCCAGGCAUGAGCCACCAUGCCAGGCCAGCUUUUCUUUAUCUUGGACAGAAUGACUUCAUUUAUAAGCAGCAUCUUGUGUAACAGUCAGUUUUAUGUGUCAACUUGGCUAGGCUAUAAUACCCAGUUUUCAAUUAAACACUAAUCCAGGUGUUGCUGUGAA